This 465-nucleotide ribosomal RNA is filed under the name uncultured bacterium. RNAcentral describes it as "partial 16S ribosomal RNA". It matches the Rfam family "Bacterial small subunit ribosomal RNA", at positions 28 to 507 of the family's 1533-position model. The record is from RNAcentral.
GACGAACGCUGGCGGCGUGCUUAACACAUGCAAGUCGAGCGAGGCCCCUCCUUCGGUAGGGUGUCCUAGCGGCGAACGGGUGAGUAACACGUGGGCAACCUGCCCUCAGCUCUGGGAUAACUCCGUGAAACCGGGGCUAAUACCUGAUACGACCUCCACUGGCAUCUGCGGAGGUGGAAAGUUUUUCGGCUGUGGAUGGGCCCGCGGCCUAUCAGCUAGUUGGUGGGGUAGUGGCCGACCAAGGCGACGACGGGUAGCCGGCCUGAGAGGGGGACCGGCCACAAUGGGACUGAGAGACGGAGCAGACGCCUACGGGAGGCAGCAGUGGGGAAUAUUGCGCAAUGGGCGAAAGCCUGACGCAGAGACGCCGCGUGAGGGACGAAGGCCUUCGGGUUGUAAACAUCUGUCAGCAGGGACGAAGCGAAAGUGACGGUACCUGAAGAAGAAGCACCGGCCAACUACGUG